Molecule: long non-coding RNA, 281 nt
Organism: Ochotona princeps (American pika)
Lineage: Eukaryota; Metazoa; Chordata; Mammalia; Lagomorpha; Ochotonidae
Exons: 3
Source: RefSeq, a predicted model, not a curated record
UGCAGUCUUUUCCUAACAACUUCCUGGAACAGAGUUGCUAUUUCCUUUAGCUGAAGCUCUCAGAAAUUCUCGAGCAGUCUGCAACGUGGCUGAACUUGGGUGAGAUUGUGCUGAGUGCCAUGAGCCAGGCUAAAAGGACAAGUGGCAUGUGGUUCCGCCCCAGCGAGCUGCUGUUCGUUUGCAAAAAUUCCCCUUCAGUGGGUCCUGUUGGAGUUGGAGUCAUUUUGCAUGGCAGCAAGUGGGAGAGACAGAGAGACAAUGGAGAGGGGCAGCUCUGGGGA